This 924-nucleotide long non-coding RNA is filed under the name Ananas comosus (pineapple). RNAcentral describes it as "long non-coding RNA (ACOM_LNC019133)". The record is from RNAcentral. Lineage: Eukaryota; Viridiplantae; Streptophyta; Magnoliopsida; Poales; Bromeliaceae.
UUAACUAAAAAUUAAGAAAAGAUGAAAAAAAUUAAUUUGUAGUGAUUUGUAAAUUUUCUAUUAAUAAUUUUUUUUUUUAUUUUUAGAAAUAGAUAGUUGUUCUCUGUUUCGUUUAUUUCAUUUUAAAAUAAACUUAGCUAAAAAUGUGAAUCAAUUAGGAUUCGAACUUGAGACCUCGGGCACCAACCACCUAGCCAUUUGCCACUUGAUUUAGAGAUGGUUGAUUAAUAGUAAAAAUUUUUUUAAAAAAAAAUUGGUAGGGGUUUGUAAAUUUUUCAAUAGUAUCUACUCGUUUGACGCCCCACUUUCCAAGGGUCACCAUCUUAAAACUACUCUGGUUCUAACAAACUUAAUUUUUUUAAUCUUUUGAAUCUAACUAUCAUUCAUAAUAUUGUAGUCGGAUUUAAAAAUUUUAGCCCUAUUAUAUAUGAUUAACUCUUUUAAUCUUUUGUGCCUAGUCGCCGUCCAAAAUUUUACAACCGGGUUUAAAAGUUUUAGCCUUAUAAUAUACUAAAUUAUAUCUUAACAACAUUCUACUACCUUAUACUUUAGUAUUAUUCUUAUUUAUUAUAUUAUACUUUUCUUUUCAAAAUCACUAUUUAUUAUUAUAUUUUGCUAAUUUCUAUACUGUAUUUUAAAUUUAAUUUAAAUUUUCUAUUUUCUACUAUUUUUUUUCAUAAAUUUAUUUUAAUCAGUAUUUUUUUAACAAUUUUUAUAUAAAAUUAAAAAUUAUUAUUUAUAAUAUAGAGAUUGAAAAAAAUAAUAAUUGAGUGGUAUUUUUUAAAAAUAUUAUACACCAUCAAAAGAAAUUUUUUUUUUGAGAGAGAUAGGUAGCACAGUACCCGCUUCGUUUAUUUCAUUUAGAAAUAAAUUUCGCUGGAAAUGUGAAUCAAUUAGAAUUCAAACUUGGGUCUCGGAUAAAUG